ACGGUUUCAGUUACACGUGGAUAACCUGCCCUCAGGUCUGGCAUAACCCCGGGAAACUGGGGAUAAUUCCGGAUAACGCAUAUGUGCUGGAAUGCUUUGUGCGUGAAAGGUCCUCCGCCUGAGGAUGGGUCUGCGGCCUAUCAGGUAGUAGCGGGUGUAAUGUACCUGCUAGCCGACGACGGGUACGGGUUGUGAGAGCAAGAGCCCGGAGAUGGAUUCUGAGACAUGAAUCCAGGCCCUACGGGGCGCAGCAGGCGCGAAAACUUUACAAUGCGGGAAACCGUGAUAAGGGGACACCGAGUGCCAGCAACAUUUGCUGGCUGUCCAGGUGUGUAAACUACACCUGUUAGCAAGGGCCGGGCAAGACCGGUGCCAGCCGCCGCGGUAACACCGGCGGCCCGAGUGGUGAUCGUUAUUAUUGGGUCUAAAGGGUCCGUAGCCGGUUUAGUCAGUCCUCCGGGAAAUCUGUCAGCUCAACUGAUAGGCUAUCGGGGGAUACUGCUAGACUUGGAACCGGGAGAGGUAAGAGGUACUACAGGGGUAGGAGUGAAAUCUUGUAAUCCCUGUGGGACCACCUGUGGCGAAGGCGUCUUACCAGAACGGGUUCGACGGUGAGGGACGAAAGCUGGGGGCACGAACCGGAUUAGAUACCCGGGUAGUCCCAGCCGUAAACGAUGCUCGCUAGGUGUCAUGCAUGGUGCGACCGUGUAUGGUGCCGUAGGGAAGCCGUGAAGCGAGCCACCUGGGAAGUACGGCCGCAAGGCUGAAACUUAAAGGAAUUGGCGGGGGAGCAC
This 794-nucleotide ribosomal RNA is filed under the name uncultured archaeon. Its description in RNAcentral is "bacterial SSU rRNA". It matches the Rfam family "Archaeal small subunit ribosomal RNA", at positions 83 to 879 of the family's 1478-position model. The record is from RNAcentral.